This is a small nucleolar RNA of Hibiscus syriacus, 107 nucleotides long. Lineage: Eukaryota; Viridiplantae; Streptophyta; Magnoliopsida; Malvales; Malvaceae. The record is from RefSeq and is a predicted model, not a curated record.
AAACCAUGCAUUGGACAUUUAUGUAUUAAAUAUUUAGAUCUCUUCCAAACAUCAUAUAAGUUUUCAUACUCCAUUUGCUUAAAAUAUGUAAUUCCAUUUAUAAGCCU